AGUUGUUGCAGUUAAAAAGCUCGUAGUUGGACCUUGGGCAGGAGGCACGGGUUGGCCGAAUGGCUCGACUCGGGUCUCCGGCCUCUAUGGGUGGUCGUGCCUUUGGUACGGUUCGCCCGGGUUACUGUGAAGAAAUUAGAGUGUUUAAAGCAGGCGAUUGCUUGGAUACAUCAGCAUGGAAUAACAAGAUAGGACCUGGUUCCACUUGUUGGUUUGGGGGCUUUGGUAAUGAUUAAUAGGGCCAGUUGGGGGCAUUAGUAUUCAGUAGUCAGAGGUGAAAUUCUUGGAUUUGCUGAAGACUAACUAGUGCGAAAGCAUUUGCCAAGGAUGUUUUCAUUAAUCAAGAACGAAAGUUAGGGGAUCGAGGACGAUCAGAUACCGUCGUAGUCUUAACUAUAAACGAUGCCGACUCGGGAUCGGCAGACGUCGUUAGCGACACUGUCGGCACCGUGUGAGAAAUCAAAGUUUUUGGGUUCUGGGGGGAGUAUGGUCGCAAGGCUGAAACUUAAAGGAAUUGACGGAAGGGCACCACCAGGAGUGGAGCCUGCGGCUUAAUUUGACUCAACACGGGAAAACUCACCAGGUCCGGACAUAGUAAGGAUUGACAGAUUGAGAGCUCUUUCUUGAUUCUGUG
This 634-nucleotide ribosomal RNA is filed under the name uncultured eukaryote. Its description in RNAcentral is "SSU rRNA". It matches the Rfam family "Eukaryotic small subunit ribosomal RNA", at positions 608 to 1272 of the family's 1831-position model. The record is from RNAcentral.